Molecule: non-coding RNA, 2619 nt
Organism: Camellia sinensis
Lineage: Eukaryota; Viridiplantae; Streptophyta; Magnoliopsida; Ericales; Theaceae
Source: RefSeq, a predicted model, not a curated record
UCACCUUUGUAACCAAACAAACGAGGUCUCUAUGCACCCGUCAAAGACACCACACCAUCGCCAAAAAGAGGAGGAACCACAGAUGGAGAGAGAGACGGUGCUGAAUGAUGUUCGAACUGAUUUUGGAGAGAGAAAUAUAUAUGUAUGUGUAUGUAUUAAAUUAUAAUAAUAUGCUUUGAAGGUGAUCAAUUGUGAAGACGGAUUGAAAAAUCCUUCAACAGAGAGCGUAUCAACGAUAAUUCAUGUGACUGCCCUGAGGGCGCCGAUGAGCCUGCUAUGAUCACUGGAUGAACUAAACAUGACUGCUAAUGCUUGCUGGUUUUGAUUUCAUCAUAACACACAUGGUUCCCCAUCCUUGUAUUAACCCUGCAAUUUACAAGAUGUCGACUCCAGUGUCAAAAAUUGGUGCUUCUCUUUAUCAUUUUCGCAACUCUUUCUUCCAAUUUUCUUCCAUUCGUUUGAUCACUUCAUUGCACACACUUGAAGAAUCUGUCAGAGCAGCAGUUGAAGCCAAAACAUACCAGGAAAUUCCUGAGCUUCUCAUUGCCUCAAAAGGUUCUUUUCAACACCCAAAUCCAUUCUCAUUCCUCUCCACCUUUACCCAGCACCUCAGAACCCAAAUCAUUGAUGAAAUUUUACAAUCUUUUAUCCUUCUCAGACCCCGGUCACAUGGUAAAGUUGCCUAUUCCUGCCUCCUCUCCUACACCUUACAAAGCCCUAACCCUCUUCCUCUUGCUCUUGCCAUUCUUCAGCGCACUCUACGAGCCGGCUGCAUCCCUGUUCCCCAAACUCUUCUUCUUCUUUCUGCUGCAUGGCUUGACCGGCGCCAUUCCCAAUCUGUCUCAAACAUACUAUUGGAGAUGCAGUCAAUUGGUUAUCGCCCUGAUAGUGGCAUUUGCAAUUACCUUAUUUCAUCACUCUGCGCUGUUGAUCAGUUGAAUGAGGCAGUUAAAGUCUUGAAGGGCAUGAGUGGUGCAGGAUGUGUUCCUGACUUGGAAAGUUAUGAUGCUGUGAUUGGUGCAAUGUGUGCAGUCAGAAAGACCACUGAUGCGGCAGAAAAGAUGAAAGAAAUGGUGGCAAAAAUUGGAUUGACGCCACGGCAGGAAACGAUUGUGAAAGUAGUCUCUACAAUGCGGGCAAACAAAGAUAUUUGGAGAGCAGUUGAGAUGAUUGACUUUUUGGAGAAGGCAGGGUUCCCUGUGGGGUUUGAAAGCUACGAGUUAGUGGUUGAAGGGUGCUUAGAGUGUGGCGAGUUUGUUUUGGCAGGGAAGGUUGUAAUGGCGAUGACAAGAAGAGGGUUUAUACCAUAUAUUAAGGCACGGCAGAAGGUAGUUGAGGGGCUGGCUAGUGUUGGUGAACAGGAGCUUUCCUCUGCUGUGAGGCAGAAGUUUGUAGAAUUGAAAUCUUAGCUUCUUGAAAAUCAUUUGGGUGGUGUGAUUAUUGUGAGAAGCAUUUAAUGUUACCGUCCUUCCCAAGCUGUGCAAUGUAUGUCAUUUGGUGAGUGUUCAAUGUUCAUCAUUUUUCAACAUCACAACCAAAGAGGAGAUGGGAUCAAUAUUCCAUUAUUUAAUUGACCUUCUGUGGUAGAAUGACGUUGCAUUGGUCAAUUUUCUUAUGAAGUGGUGACUGAGACUACAAGGAGCUGUUUAGCCUGUAGUUGUUAGAGAUUGGACUCCAGCAUGCACCUUUCUUCAACAGGGACACCAAUUUGCCCGUUUUAAUCUUGGUAAGGCCUUCCACAGCUGCAGUUGCAGAGAAAGCCCAACAACUUCCUGCGAUGAAAGGUAGGUAAAUAUUAACGUCUGUCACUCUCUUGUACAUAUGCAACCUUUUAUAUUAUGACUGAACAGUGAACUCUAUAAUCUUGUUUUCUUAUGCAAUUGAGCAUUCUGCUUUAAUCCAAGUAUGAUAAUAUCUGAGUAAAAUUUAUAUUCUAUUUGGUUUUGGGGCAUGAUCUAUUUGUGUUGGAUACAACUUGACUGAAAAAUAUCUUAUAAUGACUAAGAAUUUUUCUAGUGGCCUAUUUCAGACGCCAAUUGCAAAUUGCAAUAAUUCCAUCUCUGGAAUGCUCUCUUGUUCCCUAAAGAGUGCUGAAAAUCGUACUGUAGGAACUUCUAAUACCACUGCUUGAUGUUUACCAAGUUAUUUCUCUGUAAAUCUAUACAUUAUAUCCUGAGGUGAAGAUCUUCCAAAGAUCAUGAAAAUUUUCAUAGGAGCCUAUUUCAGACUGUAACUGUGAAAAAACUUGGAUGUGAAUUAUGUAACUCCAAAAAGACCUCUUGUCCUAUGGAGCAGUCGUUAAAUCUCUUUGAAUAACAUUGUAAUUCCUUGAUGUAAUCUAAAUUUAACUUCUCUAGAACUCUAGACAUUUUAUCUAGAGGAUUAAAGAUACAAUAAUUACUGGUUGGUUUCCCUCUAAAGAUUUUUUAGCACAGUUAUAUUCCUGUUGUUUAGGGAGAAGCAUGAAAAUACUUUACCACAUUGGCCUUGAUCCUUGACUGGAGUCACAGCACCUUGCUUUCUCCAGUCCACAAUGGUCGGCAAACCCGUACUUUCCUCGUAUCCAAAUCUCAUCCCUGUAACUGAAUGACCAGUAGUCCCUAGACCCAAGUAGAUGGA